This is a non-coding RNA of Odocoileus virginianus texanus, 423 nucleotides long. The record is from RefSeq and is a predicted model, not a curated record. NCBI's taxonomy places the organism in Eukaryota, Metazoa, Chordata, Mammalia, Artiodactyla, Cervidae.
CGGGAUUUUUUGCCUGUUUGCGCAGCAUCUCUUCAAAAUAAAAUGACUCGUCCCCUCUGUCGUCAUGGAAGACCUCUGUGGGCGCUAAGCACAGAGUUCAGAGUCCACUGCAGAGGUGGCCGCGCACGACCAGCACGGACGGCCUGAGAUGGAGUCCAGGCCUUAUUAAUUCCUUCUUCAGUGGCUCCCAACAUACUAUACCGUCGUUCAGCAACACUUCCUAACCAGGUGUUACAGACUUGCAAGUCAGACCAACCCUUCCCAGAGUGUUAACCUCCUUAAUGCUUGUGACUUCAACAGCCAGCUCUCCAAAUCCAGUCUCUGCAAGGCAAGCUCUGAACUACACCUCUGCUUGGCUCUUAAACUUUCCCUAUGGCCAGCUCUCAAACACCCACUUAAUCAGUAAAUUGUCUUUCCAUAUUA